GACGCUGGGGCAUGCCUACCAUGCUAGUCGUACGGAGAGUGGGGCGACUCACUCUCGGUGGCAAACGGGAGAGUAACACGUGAAUAACCUGCCUUUGAGAAGGAGAUAACUGUCCGAAAAGAUAGCUAAUACCCUAUAUUGCCUUUUGUCACUAAGGCAAAAGGUGAAAGCAAGGCUGUCAAAGGCUUCGGCUCAAAAAGGGGUUCGCGUCCUAUCAGGUAGUUGGUGGGGUAAUGGCCUACCAAGCCAAUGACGGGUAGCUGGUCUUAAAGGAUAAUCAGCCACAGUGGGACUGAAACACGGCCCGCACCCCUACGGGGGGCAGCAGUGGGGAAUCGUGGGCAAUGGGCGCAAGCCUGACCCCGCAAUGCCGCGUGAGGAAAAAAGCCCUUCGGGGUGUAAACCUCUGUCAAACGGGAAAAUGGGACUAGGGGCUAAUACCUCCUAGUCUUGACGGUACCAUCAAAGGAAGGGACGGCUAACUACUUGCCAGCAGCCGCGGUAAU
This 506-nucleotide ribosomal RNA is filed under the name uncultured bacterium. Its description in RNAcentral is "bacterial SSU rRNA". It matches the Rfam family "Bacterial small subunit ribosomal RNA", at positions 33 to 524 of the family's 1533-position model. The record is from RNAcentral.